Molecule: ribosomal RNA, 229 nt
Filed under: uncultured bacterium
Lineage: Bacteria
Description: partial 16S ribosomal RNA
Rfam family: Bacterial small subunit ribosomal RNA
Source: RNAcentral
AGUAACACGUAAGUAAUCUACCUUCGAGUGGGGAAUAACGUCCGGGAAACGGACGCUAAUACCGCAUAAUGCAGCGGCAUCGCAAGAUGACAGUUGUUAAAGGAGCAAUUCGCUUGAAGAGGAGCUUGCGGCAGAUUAGCUAGUUGGUAAGGUAACGGCUUACCAAGGCUACGAUCUGUAACCGGUCUAAGAGGACGGUCGGUCACACUGACACUGAAUAACGGGUCAG